Molecule: non-coding RNA, 957 nt
Organism: Oryzias melastigma (Indian medaka)
Lineage: Eukaryota; Metazoa; Chordata; Actinopteri; Beloniformes; Adrianichthyidae
Source: the annotation of a RefSeq genome assembly
UGAGCAGGAGUUAAUAAAUGAUUGACAAAAACAACAUUAUGUGUUUGAUUAAAAACAGAUUACUAAAAUUACGUUUAAGCAUGAAGUUUGUUUUAACAGAGGACUGAUUUCAACUCAUUUUAAUUCUUUAAGGAGGAGUUUAUGCAAAUCUGACAUUUCCAGUUUCUUCUUAUAUGAAUCAAAGUUCAGUGAUUCAAUCUGACAAAGAAGCUGCAGACAGAACAAAGACAAAUGACUCCAACAAUGAUCAGACCUGUUUGUUUGCUGCUUUUUCUCUUUUUCUUUGGUGUCUUACCUGGUAUCAGGGGUCAAACACUGACUGAGUCUGAAUCAGUGGUUAAAAGACCUGGAGAAUCCCACAAACUGACUUGUACAUAUUCAGGGUUUAGUAGUGAUCCUUAUAUAGCUUGGAUCAGACAGGCUGCAGGAAAAGGACUGGAGUGGAUCGCUUGGAUCAACCCUGGCAGCAGCAACAUCUACUACUCAGAGUCAGUGAAAAACCGCUUCACCAUCUCCAGAGACAACAGCAGAAAGCAGGUGUAUCUGCAGAUGAACAGUCUGAGAGCUGAGGAUUCUGCUGUUUAUUACUGCGCUCGAGAGUCACAGUGACUCAAGAGACACAAACUCUGUACAAAAACAACACAUGAAGAUAAUGGCUGUCAUCGGGUUUUUAAAAAUAUGAUUUUAUAGUAGACUGGAUGCAAAAUAUGUGGAAAUUGAUAUUUGCAAAAAAGAGCUUUUAAAGGUGCAAAAUAAUAACAGCUUCAGGGAGAGUUAGGAGGUUUGUUUCUUUUUUUUGUCAAUAUUUAUUGUGACUGAUGUUCACUUCUAGUGGAUUAGUUCUUUUUUUUACUUUAGUUUAGAGCCAUACCUGUUCUAAUCUAGAAUUGACUUUUAUAACUUUCAUUGCCUAAUUUCCCAGCCUGGGAUGAAUAAAGUAUUGCUAUUCUAUUCUAU